Passer domesticus (house sparrow) is the source of this 1009-nucleotide long non-coding RNA. RefSeq lists it as uncharacterized. The record is from RefSeq and is a predicted model, not a curated record. The transcript is spliced from 3 exons. NCBI's taxonomy places the organism in Eukaryota, Metazoa, Chordata, Aves, Passeriformes, Passeridae.
CCAUGUGAUUGACUUCUCCAGGAGGGCUGCCCAGUGUGACAGGAAGAGACAGAGGGAGAGCCUGUGACCAUCGGGCAGGUAGAAUUCCUCUGUCUCUAGUUAUAUUUAUAGAUAUGUAUAGUUUAUUUAGGUAGUGGUAUUUAUAGAUUCAUGUAAUUAUUGUUAGAGAGCUGUACAGUUAAUUAUUUUUUUAUUUUAGAUAUAUAUUGUUAUAGCUUUAGAUGUAUUGUUGUGGUUAUAGAUGUGCCCAGUUGCUUUUAUAAUUGUGUCGUUAGUUACAUUUACAUAUAUACAUUUGUAAAUGCAUAUUUAUAUUUGUAUCUGGGGGUUUAGACGCAUAGAUUGAUAUUUAUAUACGCCUCUUUUUAACCUUUUGCCCUGUUCUGCUUCCUCGCUCACCUCUUGCUUUUCCCCCUGUGCCCCCUGUGUCCCCUCUCCCUGGGCUGGGUCCGAGCUGGCGGCCGGGCCGGGCGCAGCAGCAGUUCCAGCCCCGGGUGUCCCUGGAGCACUGGGAGCUGCCGGUGGCCCCAGGCACUGUCCCCUGAGGAGCUGCUGAAGGACGCUGUAAUGAAGACCACGAGGACAGCCGGAGACUGCCAGGAGCCAGCAGGGAGAAGCUGAGGGCCAGCAGCAGGAGCAGUGAGCGGGGCCCUGCUGCUGCCAGCCUGGAGAGAGCCCAGGAGAUCUGCCAAACUUCAUCUGCAGGAUCAGAAGAACUGGUGUCCUUUGGCCACCCCCAGUUCCCACUGAAGAUGGGAGCACCUGCAGAGCAGAGAGGACCAGCUGCAACUCCAGGCCCAGCUCUUGCUGCUCACAGCUGAGCCUGUGGCAAGCUCCAGGAGCUCCUGCCAUCUCCCUCCCUGUUGGCAGCUCUCUCCCUCCAGACCCCAGGCCCUGCCCAUCCACGUUUUUCCCUCCCAGUUCACCCCUUUGCUUUGCCUUCCCUUAUUAAACAGUUUGUCUUUUUCAUUUGACUCGUGGAUCUGUCCAUGGAGCUGAAGCAGCACAA